RNAcentral lists this microRNA precursor (122 nucleotides) under Olea europaea subsp. europaea. The record is from RNAcentral. Lineage: Eukaryota; Viridiplantae; Streptophyta; Magnoliopsida; Lamiales; Oleaceae.
UUAUUGAACGUUGCAAAAGAGAGGUUUUUGCAGCGUUUGUUAAACGUUGCAAAAGACUAUCUUUCGCAACGUUUAACGUUUAAACGUUGCAAAAACCUCUCUUUUGCAACGUUGAACAAACG